This 303-nucleotide long non-coding RNA is filed under the name Vigna radiata. RNAcentral describes it as "long non-coding RNA (VRAD_LNC011466)". The record is from RNAcentral. Lineage: Eukaryota; Viridiplantae; Streptophyta; Magnoliopsida; Fabales; Fabaceae.
GAUACAAUACUUGGUCUUACCAUUUAUUAUUACUUGAUAUGAUUCGAUACACUUGCCGAGGUCUUAACAAAUUUUUGGCGCGGUUGUUGGGAAAUCGUGGUUUAAACUAUACUUCUGUGUGAUUCUUAACCAGUAAAACUUUAUUUUAUUGUUUUUAAUUUUUGUGUAUUUUUUAUUUUUAUUUUUUGGGCUAAUUGGGUGUUUUAGUGUUUUGUUCUCUAGUGUAUGCAUGGUUCAAUUCAAACUAGAAGCACGAAAUUAUCUAAACCUCUUCUUACAGGUCUGGACAAUAGUAGAAGAAGA